AUGAGAAAGGCUGUAAAUCGGGGAUACGAGGAAUGGGUGCCACGUGCCACCAAGGCAACUGUUCUGUCCUCAAUCAAGUGUCCAGUGCCCAAGAGAUGCCCAUAUACUGACAAGAAGGUGGUUGAAACAUUUUAGGAAAAAGUUACAGAUGUGACAGACACAAUAAUAAACAAAGACAAACAAGGAAUUUUACUAAUUCUUCAACUAACGAAGGAAUACCUCAAGCGUCCAAGUUGGUUCAGCAAAAAAAAGAGCCAUCAGAUCUACCCCUCCGGUGCAGCAUCAGCAAGACCAAACAGAAGCAGAAAGUGCUUCGUGUGCUCUUCUUUGCACUAGUCCUGUGAAGUGUGCAAAUAUUCAUACAGUUGAAUAUUUGCCAGUCCAGAACAUUUACCAGCGGACUCCGUUUUGAUAGCACAGUACCUGUGGGUAAGUCUGUAAGAGAAGAGAGGUCCCUGAAGAUGUCUAUUCCCAGGCAGUUCUGCCCAUCACACACAGCAUAAGACCUCAGGAGUCUUAAU
This 521-nucleotide long non-coding RNA is filed under the name Calidris pugnax (ruff). RNAcentral describes it as "lncRNA (ENSCPUG00000002843.1)". Lineage: Eukaryota; Metazoa; Chordata; Aves; Charadriiformes; Scolopacidae. The record is from RNAcentral.